Molecule: ribosomal RNA, 253 nt
Filed under: uncultured bacterium
Lineage: Bacteria
Description: partial 16S ribosomal RNA
Rfam family: Bacterial small subunit ribosomal RNA
Source: RNAcentral
UACGGAGGGUGCAAGCGUUAUCCGGAUUCACUGGGUUUAAAGGGUGCGUAGGUGGGUCUGUAAGUCCGUGGUGAAAUCUCCAAGCUUAACUUGGAAACUGCCAUGGAUACUAUAGGUCUUGAAUACCGUGGAGGUGAGCGGAAUAUGUCAUGUAGCGGUGAAAUGCUUAGAUAUGACAUAGAACACCGAUUGCGAAGGCAGCUCACUACACGAAUAUUGACACUGAGGCACGAAAGCGUGGGGAUCAAACAGG